UAAUACGUAGGCAGCGAGCGUUGUUCGGAGUUACUGGGCGUAAAGAGUGCGUAGGCGGUCAGCCAAGUUUGGUGUGAAAUCUCCCGGCUCAACUGGGAGGGUGCGCCGAAAACUGGUUGGCUAGAGUAUGGGAGAGGAAAGCGGAAUUCCUGGUGUAGCGGUGAAAUGCGUAGAUAUCAGGAGGAACACCUGUGGUGUAGACAGCUUUCUGGACCAAAACUGACGCUGAGGCACGAAAGCGUGGGUAGCAAACAGG
Molecule: ribosomal RNA, 256 nt
Filed under: uncultured bacterium
Lineage: Bacteria
Description: partial 16S ribosomal RNA
Rfam family: Bacterial small subunit ribosomal RNA
Source: RNAcentral